GACGAACGCUGGCGGCGUGCCUAAUACAUGCAAGUAGAACGCACAGUUUAUACCGUAGCUUGCUACACCAUAGACUGUGAGUUGCGAACGGGUGAGUAACGCGUAGGUAACCUGCCUGGUAGCGGGGGAUAACUAUUGGAAACGAUAGCUAAUACCGCAUAAUAUUAAUUAUUGCAUGAUAAUUAAUUGAAAGGUGCAAUUGCACCACUACCAGAUGGACCUGCGUUGUAUUAGCUAGUAGGUGAGGUAACGGCUCACCUAGGCGACGAUACAUAGCCGACCUGAGAGGGUGAUCGGCCACACUGGGACGGAGACACGGCCCAGACUCCUACGGGAGGCAGCAGUAGGGAAUCUUCGGCAAUGGACGAAGGUCUGACCGAGCAACGCCGCGUGAGUGAAGAAGGUUGUCGGAUCGUAAAGCUCUGUUGUAAGAGAAGAACGGGUGUGAGAGUGGAAAGUUCACACUGUGACGGUAUCUUACCAGAAAGGGACGGCUAACUACGUG
RNAcentral lists this ribosomal RNA (505 nucleotides) under uncultured bacterium. RNAcentral's name for it is "partial 16S ribosomal RNA". It matches the Rfam family "Bacterial small subunit ribosomal RNA", at positions 28 to 507 of the family's 1533-position model. The record is from RNAcentral.